GUAAGGCACAGGUGGCAGGAGGUUGGCGGCCGGGAGGGCUCCUGUCCCAGGGCCACGUGCACAGGACUGGAUUGAACUUGGGACCUUGCGCUGGCAGGCAGGCGCCGGAACCACUGAGCUAAAUCCCCGGCCCCACUUCUAAAUUUUUAUUUAGAGAAAGAACUACGAACCAACACUCCUGAGCAGCUUGAAGCGUGCGUGCUAUGGUCUUACACGAAGGGAGCCGCAGUCCCCUGUCCAGCCUGAACAGCUCUGCCUGGCUUCAUUGUAUUUGCCCUGAGUGCCCAAGAAAGACUGCACGCCCUGGAUUCCUGGUUUUCCAGACAAGACUGGAUUAUGAAAAUAAACCUCCUCUUCUUCAUCCUGCCUCCUCCCCGAACCCCCACCCCCGGCCGCCUUCCCGAGCAGAGCCUGCGGGAAUCAGUGCCUGUGCUGGGUGAAAGCAUCUUUAAACCUCGCCUCAGAACUGGCCUCUCCACCCUCAGAGGAAAUGCACGGAACCACACACCUGCUCCUCCCAGGGCUCAGCGAGAAGCCAGGGAGUCCAGGUGGGAGCGACCUGGUGUCAGCUGGGUUUCAGAUCCCGCUGCCGCUGGGGCACUGCAGGAGCCCUCGGCAGUGUGACUAGGAAGCAGGGCUGGGCUGCAGGGUCACAGAACCCAGGUCUGCAUCCGGGACCCCUAAGCAAGGGGCUUGGAUGAUCCAAAGAUGGACAGUGCUUCCACACACACUCCUUUGGUUUUGUGCUAAGCUGAAAAAUGAGCGCUUCCCAGAAAUGCCAGGAAAACCUCCCUCAGAGGUCAGCAAACAGGAUCCAUGUCCAGAGAAGGGGCUUCCAAACUGGGCUCCUUCUGCAAGUCUGCUUGUGGCAUACCAAUCACCUGUUGCUCCUGUUGUCACCCUCAUCUGACUCACUGGGUGACCAAGCUUUGAAAAUCAAACAGUGCUUUGGUGACAAUGGGAGCCUGAGAGUGGGUUAGGAUCCCACUCCAGUCACCUCCCAGCGCUGCAGGAUUCUGAACACCUCCACCUGAGGCUUCCAGCCCUGCAGGUGGAUACAACAG
This 1064-nucleotide long non-coding RNA is filed under the name Heterocephalus glaber (naked mole-rat). RNAcentral describes it as "lncRNA (ENSHGLG00000048570.1)". Lineage: Eukaryota; Metazoa; Chordata; Mammalia; Rodentia; Bathyergidae. The record is from RNAcentral.